GGUCUGAUGGCGUAGUUGGUUAUCGCAUCUGUCUAACAGGUUUCGUAACUGUGAGCUUACGUAAUCCUGACACAGAAGGUCUCCCGUUCGAGCCGGGGUCAGAUCA
Non-coding RNA from Hygrophoropsis aurantiaca, 106 nucleotides. The record is from the annotation of a GenBank genome assembly. Lineage: Eukaryota; Fungi; Basidiomycota; Agaricomycetes; Boletales; Hygrophoropsidaceae.